GCAUUGCUGAAGAGUCCCACAAUAGAACGAAACGCCCGUCCAGUGU
This 46-nucleotide non-coding RNA is filed under the name Schistosoma curassoni. The record is from RNAcentral. Lineage: Eukaryota; Metazoa; Platyhelminthes; Trematoda; Strigeidida; Schistosomatidae.